Molecule: ribosomal RNA, 765 nt
Filed under: uncultured Streptococcus sp.
Lineage: Bacteria; Bacillati; Bacillota; Bacilli; Lactobacillales; Streptococcaceae
Description: bacterial SSU rRNA
Rfam family: Bacterial small subunit ribosomal RNA
Source: RNAcentral
GACGAACGCUGGCGGCGUGCCUAAUACAUGCAAGUAGAACGCUGAAGAGAGGAGCUUGCUCUUCUUGGAUGAGUUGCGAACGGGUGAGUAACGCGUAGGUAACCUGCCUUGUAGCGGGGGAUAACUAUUGGAAACGAUAGCUAAUACCGCAUAACAAUGGAUGACACAUGUCAUUUAUUUGAAAGGGGCAAUUGCUCCACUACAAGAUGGACCUGCGUUGUAUUAGCUAGUAGGUGAGGUAACGGCUCACCUAGGCGACGAUACAUAGCCGACCUGAGAGGGUGAUCGGCCACACUGGGACUGAGACACGGCCCAGACUCCUACGGGAGGCAGCAGUAGGGAAUCUUCGGCAAUGGGGGCAACCCUGACCGAGCAACGCCGCGUGAGUGAAGAAGGUUUUCGGAUCGUAAAGCUCUGUUGUAAGUCAAGAACGAGUGUGAGAGUGGAAAGUUCACACUGUGACGGUAGCUUACCAGAAAGGGACGGCUAACUACGUGCCAGCAGCCGCGGUAAUACGUAGGUCCCGAGCGUUGUCCGGAUUUAUUGGGCGUAAAGCGAGCGCAGGCGGUUUGAUAAGUCUGAAGUUAAAGGCUGUGGCUCAACCAUAGUUCGCUUUGGAAACUGUCAAACUUGAGUGCAGAAGGGGAGAGUGGAAUUCCAUGUGUAGCGGUGAAAUGCGUAGAUAUAUGGAGGAACACCGGUGGCAAAAGCGGCUCUCUGGUCUGUAACUGACGCUGAGGCUCGAAAGCGUGGGGAGCGAACAGG